GAUGAAGAACGUAGCGAAAUGCGAUAAGUAAUGUGAAUUGCAGAAUUCAGUGAAUCAUCGAAUCUUUGAACGCACAUUGCGCCCGCCAGUAUUCUGGCGGGCAUGCCUGUCUGAGCGUCAUUUCAACCCUCAUGCCCCUAGGGCGUGGUGUUGGGGAUCGGCCAAAGCCCGCGAGGGACGGCCGGCCCCUAAAUCUAGUGGCGGACCCGUCGUGGCCUCCUCUGCGAAGUAGUUUUCUCCUCGCAAGGGCAGCUCGACGACGACCACGCCGUAAAACCCCCAACUUCUGAAAGGUUGACCUCGAAUCAGGUAGGAAUACCCGCUGAACUUAAGCAUAUCAAUAAGCGGAGGA
This 352-nucleotide unclassified non-coding RNA is filed under the name soil metagenome. RNAcentral describes it as "partial contains 5.8S ribosomal RNA, internal transcribed spacer 2, and large subunit ribosomal RNA". The stretch from base 1 to 120 matches the Rfam family "5.8S ribosomal RNA", at positions 35 to 154 of the family's 154-position model. The record is from RNAcentral.